ACAUGUAGAAAUGACUAUGGCAGACUAGCGGACGGGGGUUCGAUUCCCCCCGGCUCCACCA
Molecule: transfer RNA, 61 nt
Filed under: Candidatus Kinetoplastidibacterium desouzai TCC079E
Lineage: Bacteria; Pseudomonadati; Pseudomonadota; Betaproteobacteria
Description: tRNA-Und (NNN) (tRNA-Und-NNN-1-1)
Rfam family: transfer-messenger RNA
About the family: Bacterial tmRNA, also known as 10Sa RNA or SsrA, is named for its dual tRNA and mRNA-like properties. Its role is to liberate the mRNA from a stalled ribosome.
Source: RNAcentral